GACGAACGCUGGCGGCGUGCCUAAUACAUGCCAGUUGAGCGAUGAAGAUUGGUGCUUGCACCAAUUUGAAGAGCAGCGAACGGGUGAGUAACGCGUGGGGAAUCUGCCUUUGAGCGGGGGACAACAUUUGGAAACGAAUGCUAAUACCGCAUAACAACUUUAAACAUAAGUUUUAAGUUUGAAAGAUGCAAUUGCAUCACUCAAAGAUGAUCCCGCGUUGUAUUAGCUAGUUGGUGAGGUAAAGGCUCACCAAGGCGAUGAUACAUAGCCGACCUGAGAGGGUGAUCGGCCACACUGGGACUGAGACACGGCCCAAACCCCUACGGGAGGCAGCAGUAGGGAAUCUUCGGCAAUGGACGAAAGUCUGACCGAGCAACGCCGCGUGAGUGAAGAAGGUUUUCGGAUCGUAAAACUCUGUUGGUAGAGAAGAACGUUGGUGAGAGUGGAAAGCUCAUCAAGUGACGGUAACUACCCAGAAAGGGACGGCUAACUACGUG
RNAcentral lists this ribosomal RNA (497 nucleotides) under uncultured bacterium. RNAcentral describes it as "partial 16S ribosomal RNA". It matches the Rfam family "Bacterial small subunit ribosomal RNA", at positions 28 to 507 of the family's 1533-position model. The record is from RNAcentral.